This is a long non-coding RNA of Triticum dicoccoides, 3721 nucleotides long. RefSeq lists it as uncharacterized. The record is from RefSeq and is a predicted model, not a curated record. The transcript has 4 exons. NCBI's taxonomy places the organism in Eukaryota, Viridiplantae, Streptophyta, Magnoliopsida, Poales, Poaceae.
CAAUCACUAGUGUCUCGCGGCUCUCGCCCCACCCCAGCCACCAAACGAGGAACCCUAGCCUCCUUUCUCCUUCCCCUCGCCCCCCACGAGCCGCUGCACCCCUCCCUCUCCCUUCCGUGCGUGCGCUCGGCCAAGGACGCCGCCGUCGCCCUCGGCUCCUCCUCCCCCACCUCGCCUUUUUCUCCUCCUUGCCUUCCCAUCGCUCGCGCGCAUGUCGCCGCUGUCGAAGAACAGGACAGUGCGGGUCGCUUCCUCCUUUUCCUCCCACCGGAUCUAAGGCAUGCGGCCGUGGAGGCGAGCCUCUCCGGUGGCGGCGGCAAAGGGUGACCACAUGGAUCGGUCCCUGCAGGAUAGAGAAGAUGGGAGAGAGGGAGAGAAGGAAGGAGAGGAGGGAGGCCCGAUGGCGGACGGGAGAGGGUCACCGACCGGCGCCGGCGAGGUCAGGUUCGACCUGGUGGUUGGUGGCGGCUCGAUCCACUCCUGGAUCCUUCUUCUUCCACUUCCCCACUGCCUAACACCAAGGAAGAGGGCUGGCCGAGGAAGAGGGCGAGGACGCGGGGAUUGAAGAGGGUGUUCAUGCAUUCAUCGCCUGGCCAAGGACGAGGAUGACGACGUGGGGUGGAGCAUGUCAUCCCUCUGGUUAUCACAUUCCUUUCUGCUACUGGGCUGAGAUGAGGGUUUUCUCCACCGAUUGUGGUGGCCUGAGUCAGAUAUCGACAACCAGAUGCUUGUGGCUACCACACAAAACGUGCUCUCUUGCUGACCUCGAGGUCCAGACGCAAUGGAUUGUCUCCAAGGUGUUUCUCCGACCAGCAACAACAAAACUCCACACUUUCUCAAUUGCGCUGUGAUUGGUUCAUGUCCACCAAGGUCGUUGCGUUGGUCGCGGUACUCGGCUUCCUUUGGGUUUGCUUGCUGUCGAGGAAGAAGAAAGGUGUGAACUAUGUGAAAAUGGACAAACCCACUGUCCCAGAUGGUAAUGAAAAAACUGACACCAACUAGCUCACUCUAUAGAUUUUGUCUAGGCUCAAGCUAACUACGUAUCUGCACCACGAUUGCUCGCUGGGGAUAUAGAUGUAUGCCUAACAUCAGGUUAUUACCACACCAUAGUAGCUGCUCGUUGGGAAUAUAGAUAUAUAUUUCAUUUUGCAGGUUUGAAACAAGCUGGUUCCUUUAUAUGAAAUUGUUUAUUCAUGAUUUGUUAAUGUAGAAAUCAUUUCAUUAAUUAGUUUCGUAUGGUCCGUGUGAUUCAUGCUGCAAUGCUUUUCUUCAGUCGGUUAAUCGUGUAGUAAUUAGACGGUGUAGUACUAUGGCGGUGGUAUACUGAUAUCGUGUAGUAAUUGAUGCUCUGUUCAUGGCUUUUUUCUUAUUUUAUCCUUCUUUGCUUUUUUCCUUUCCUGCAAGAAGAUGUCGAGUCAUGUAAUAUGUUCAAAGAAGAGAGAAUCUGCAUUUUAUGAAUCCUUUCUUCUUUCUUCAUUGUUACUUCAAGUUAGUGAAUUCAUUUAAGUUGUAUUGAGCAGCUUCAUGUGCAUGGUUUCUUCAUCUACACAUCUUAUUCAGUCACGAGGCCUCUAAGAUCUUUUGCCUUUUAGAAAAAGGGAGAUGCCAUUUAGACCUUACUCUUCCAACUUGAUCUUUAACUUGCUAGCAUUUUCCCAAGCAUUUUUUAUUUGCUUCAGAGAAUGAACUCACCUUAUUCAGUGGAUGUGCCAAGUAAAAAAAUUAGAAACUGAACAAUUAGUUCCACUCUUAAAUUUUGUACAACGGUCCAAAUUAUCCAAUAAAUCAGUUGUUAGCAGGGUCUAAUUAUAGAAGUUGAAUCAGUUGUUCCCUCCUCUUCUCUUCGAACCCAGCCCUCUCUUGAGUGUGUCGUGCCCUCUACUACGGUAAAGCACCAGGUCCACGUGAGCUCCUCCUUCAACCCGCGUAUGUAAUUUCUUCCUUUUCCAUGAAUGCACACAUCUAAAGCAUUUUUUUGGGUUCCCUCAUCUAAAUUUCUUCUGAAGUGUGCAGAUUGUUAUUCAUUAUCAGGGAGGACAAUAUUCUUUUCAAGGACUCAUUAGUCCCAGAAUAUUUAGCUGGCAAGAUACAUAUUUUAUGAUUCAUCCAUCUCUCCAAUUCUGACCUUACAUAUCAACCUGUCUUCAUGUACCCUUCUAUAUAUGGUGCUGCUACUUUUUUUUCCUUACAUGGAUAUAUGUAUGAGAUUUCUUUGUUUAGGUAUAUUUGUGCCUGAAAGAAGUUUACAUCUAUUUUCUUGUUAGAUGAGCCUGAAUGAGAAUACUUAUGAGAUCGCAUGAAUGAGAUGUUGACGCCCUGUAUGCUCCAUGUAUCAUUCUUCCCACAUAAUGGUUAGAAUCCCAGUUGUUGAAUCACAAUAGACAAUACCAUAUUUCACAUUUUGUAUAGUCCAACCAAUAAUACAUAUGGAGCCUGGUGAUGGUUAUUGAUAUAUAGUGAUAGUAGUUUCCUGCAUUAAUUAGUUAAUGAGCCACCCUUUCGUUUUCAACUCAAAGUGUUGCAACAGUUAAAUAGAUGUGUUCGUGCCAUUUAGCCCCAAAAUUCAGUUCAGUUUGGCUGUACAUCUAUUGCCGACCCCUUUUCUUAGUACUGAUUGACCUUUAUGUGUUAAUAUUUUAUUGACUUCAUUUUUUCCUUUAGUCCUUCCUCUUGGUGUAUAAUCCUGAUUGUGUGAGUUCCUUUCCUGGUAGGGUAUUUAUGAUUCGGACCAUUCCAUAACAAAAUGCAUAUAUGGCCUCAUGCAUGUUUAUUGCUUGCCUGUGUAUCGUUGUGUUCUUAUCGGUUGUUUUCUGUGCGUUUCGUAGGAUGCGAUCUCUUCUGCCGCUACGUCUCCGUUCGACUCGCCAAGGUUUGUUGUUCUCCUUUUUACAUGUGUGUGUGCUUUACUUUCACUAUCUGCUAUAUCAUGCUAUAUGCCUUCAUGAUCGUUUAAAUAUUAUUAUGGUGUCUGCCAUGCUGAUCGUUUAAAUAUUUCGGAUACGGCAGGGCAUUGUGUGUUGUUCGUUCUCUUGCUACUUACAGUUCGUGUAUGCGUGUGAGCAGGAUCUAUGCACUUGUUUCCGUUGUUAUACUUGUUUUGGAGACUGAGGUAGCUCGGUGUGCUUUGCCAUCGCUUUCGUGUCUGUGUGAGGUUGUAGACGUCUGUGUGAGGUUGUAGACGACGGUUCUGUUCUUGCUGGUGUAGAACUCGAGCUCCCAGGGGACGGUUCUGCUCCAGUGCCACAAAGAGAUUUUUUCCGAGCUCGGCUGGGUGUGGUUUUAUGAAUGGCUAUGAGUAGGCUGCUCUACAGGUCUUGUGUAUUUUGCAAGGUUUAUAUGGACUUUUCGUUCAUGACAAUAACUAUGAAUGUAUGAUGGCCUAUAGGAGAUCUUUCUGUUCAAGAACAUUGUGGUUUCUUUGAUUCCUACUAUGCUAUUUACUCAGUCUGCAGGCCAGCAUAUUAUUUAGAUUCUUUCUAACUACCUUACUUCGAAGCUCGGUACUGGUCUCCUUCAAGCUACAACCCCAAGGCGAGCUCUGGUGGUCAAGCUGAUGCUUCUUUGCCUCAUGUUGAAGAAAAGGAUGAUAAGGAUGUCCAUGCUCGAGUGACCAGGAACAAUUGGGGAUCCCCAGAUAACUUCCGAAGCGAGGAGUUAAUUUUCGACAUAGUCCCGUUUCACAAUGGCUAUCACGCACUGCUUGGACGAACUGCAUUUGCAA